AUGCACGCUGGCGGCGUGCCUAAUACAUGCAAGUCGAGCGAACAGACGAGGAGCUUGCUCCUCUGACGUUAGCGGCGGACGGGUGAGUAACACGUGGAUAACCUACCUAUAAGACUGGGAUAACUUCGGGAAACCGGAGCUAAUACCGGAUAAUAUAUUGAACCGCAUGGUUCAAUAGUGAAAGACGGUUUUGCUGUCACUUAUAGAUGGAUCGGCGCCGCAUUAGCUAGUUGGUAAGGUAACGGCUUACCAAGGCGACGAUGCGUAGCCGACCUGAGAGGGUGAUCGGCCACACUGGAACUGAGACACGGUCCAGACUCCUACGGGAGGCAGCAGUAGGGAAUCUUCCGCAAUGGGCGAAAGCCUGACGGAGCAACGCCGCGUGAGUGAUGAAGGUCUUCGGAUCGUAAAACUCUGUUAUUAGGGAAGAACAAAUGUGUAAGUAACUAUGCACGUCUUGACGGUACCUAAUCAGAAAGCCACGGCUAACUACGUG
This 496-nucleotide ribosomal RNA is filed under the name uncultured bacterium. RNAcentral's name for it is "partial 16S ribosomal RNA". It matches the Rfam family "Bacterial small subunit ribosomal RNA", at positions 29 to 507 of the family's 1533-position model. The record is from RNAcentral.